RNAcentral lists this ribosomal RNA (256 nucleotides) under uncultured bacterium. Its description in RNAcentral is "partial 16S ribosomal RNA". It matches the Rfam family "Bacterial small subunit ribosomal RNA", at positions 524 to 776 of the family's 1533-position model. The record is from RNAcentral.
GACAUAAGUGGCGAACGUUAUCCGGAAUUAUUGGGCGUAAAGGGUGCGUAGACGGUGUAGUAAGUUAGCAGUGGGAAAUCGAAGCUCAACUUCGUGGAAAAUGUUAAUACUACUAUACUCGAGUGCAGGAGAGGUUAACGGAACUCAAUGUGGAGCGGUAAAAUGCGUAGAUAUAUUGAAGAACACCAAUAACGGCGAAGGCAGUUAACUAUUCUGUUACUGACGUUGAGGCACGAAAGCGUGGGGAGCAAAAAGG